RNAcentral lists this ribosomal RNA (186 nucleotides) under uncultured eukaryote. RNAcentral describes it as "partial 18S ribosomal RNA". It matches the Rfam family "Eukaryotic small subunit ribosomal RNA", at positions 1299 to 1458 of the family's 1831-position model. The record is from RNAcentral.
UGGUGGAGUGAUUUGUCUGGUUAAUUCCGAUAACGAACGAGACUCUGUCCUGCUAACUAGGUUGUGUUUUCUCGGGUUGGUGUUUCUGGUGUUCCUUCGCGGGGCGCCGGCCCAAUCCACUUGUGAACACAACACUCUUCUUAGAGGGACUGGCGGCUGUUAGCCGCACGAGAUAGAGCAAUAACA